RNAcentral lists this ribosomal RNA (207 nucleotides) under uncultured bacterium. RNAcentral describes it as "partial 16S ribosomal RNA". It matches the Rfam family "Bacterial small subunit ribosomal RNA", at positions 524 to 731 of the family's 1533-position model. The record is from RNAcentral.
UACGUAGGUGACUAGCGUUGUCCGGAUUUACUGGGCGUAAAGAGCGCGCAGGCGGUCGUUCAAGUCGAGUGUGAAAGCCCCCGGCUCAACUGGGGAGGGUCAUUCGAUACUGAUCGACUCGAAGGCAGGAGAGGGAAGCGGAAUUCCCGGUGUAGUGGUGAAAUGCGUAGAGAUCCGGAGGAACACCAGUGGCGAAGCGGCCGCCUG